This 140-nucleotide ribosomal RNA is filed under the name Ranatra chinensis. Its description in RNAcentral is "partial 12S ribosomal RNA". The record is from RNAcentral. Lineage: Eukaryota; Metazoa; Arthropoda; Insecta; Hemiptera; Nepidae.
UACAUCAGGGGUGAGCAAAUUUUUUCGGUCUUGAUAUUUUUAUUUUUGUUAUGAUUAAAUUUAUUUUACUUUAGGUGAAAUUAUGGUUUUGUUUUAUAAUCAGUUUUUGUAAAUUAUGUGAUAAUAAUUGUUUAAGACUA